GCAACAAAUGUUUUUCAAAGUGAACUGGGAUAAUCCAAUCUGAUCUUCACAUUUAUUAUUGUUGAAUUUAUUCUCGCAUUUUCUUCACUAAGCCUGAGGCAAUAGAAAUGACACAAAACUAUGGAAGUCAGGAAAAAAUAGGCACCAACAACUGGAAGGAAACGAUAAGGAAAAUAAAAAUGAAAAUAACUACAAAUCACUUCUCAUGGGAGUCACUUAC
This 220-nucleotide long non-coding RNA is filed under the name Mustela putorius furo (domestic ferret). RNAcentral's name for it is "lncRNA (ENSMPUG00000027551.1)". Lineage: Eukaryota; Metazoa; Chordata; Mammalia; Carnivora; Mustelidae. The record is from RNAcentral.